UCCCAAACACACAAGGGUCCAAAAUCUUCACUGAAACUUCACCAAACCUUUUUGAGGUCCUGUUAAGUGGGGCUAGAUGAAUGCUUUUCAUGUGUGUUGGGGGCUAUUUGAUUUUUUUUUCCAUUUCUGCUGUGGUUUAAGCUCUCCUCAUCUCUAAAAAGCACUUCAGUAUUUAGAGGGCAGGGCUCCCCGCAUUCUUUCCAGCUGGUCUAGAAAUCAAACACAUCAGUAGUCUCAGAAAAUAAAUUGAUCACCUUAAAGUUUUCUGAGCCUGGAUGGCAGGCAGCAAACAAGCAGACUUUCUAAUCCAGCUCAAUAACUGGUCUUUCUAACUCACAUAGGCUUGGGAUUCACUUGUAAUUAACUGACUCCUGAUAUGUUGCAGGCAUUAUGACAGUAUAUCUUCCCCAUUCUGAAAGAAAAGCUGGACUUUGAAUGAAAAAUAAAAAUGGAAACCCAGAAAAGAAGAAGGCCAGAUUGGAAAUCAGACAACAUAGGUCCAAUUCUCAGGGUUGUUGUGAUAGAAGAACUUCAUAAUAUCAAAAGCUAUAGAUAAACUUUCCCCAUAGGUUCUCAUCUAAACCAAAGCUCUGAAGUUCAUAUUUCCAUAAACAAAGAGGGAGUUUCUCAAUCUCUAUUUCAUUUCCUUGGGUUGAAUGACUUACAUUUCAUUAAUGCACCUGAGAUAAUUGGAAAGAAGCAUCCACAAUAAGUAUCUAAAUCAAAAUAAAUUUUGUGAUUGUAGA
This 746-nucleotide long non-coding RNA is filed under the name Monodelphis domestica (gray short-tailed opossum). RNAcentral describes it as "lncRNA (ENSMODG00000030505.2)". The record is from RNAcentral. Lineage: Eukaryota; Metazoa; Chordata; Mammalia; Didelphimorphia; Didelphidae.